GAUCCUUGCUCAGGAUGAACGCUGGCGGCGUGCCUAACACAUGCAAGUCGAGCGAUUUACUUCGGUAAAGAGCGGCGGACGGGUGAGUAACGCGUGGGUAACCUGCCCUAUACACACGGAUAACAUACCGAAAGGUAUGCUAAUACGAGAUAACAUAAGUAAUUCGCAUGGAUUUCUUAUCAAAGCUUUUGCGGUAUAGGAUGGACCCGCGUCUGAUUAGCUAGUUGGUAAGGUAACGGCUUACCAAGGCGACG
Molecule: ribosomal RNA, 254 nt
Filed under: uncultured bacterium
Lineage: Bacteria
Description: partial 16S ribosomal RNA
Rfam family: Bacterial small subunit ribosomal RNA
Source: RNAcentral